GAUGAACGCUGGCGGCGUGCCUAAUACAUGCAAGUCGAGCGAACAGACGAGGAGCUUGCUCCUCUGACGUUAGCGACGGACGGGUGAGUAACACGGGGAUAACCUACCUAGAAGACUGGGAUAACUUCGGGAAACCGGAGCUAAUACCGGAUAAUAUAUUGAACCGCAUGGUUCAAUAGUGAAAGACGGUUUUGCUGUCACUGAUAGAUGGAUCCACGCCGCAUUAGCUAGUUGGUAAGGUAACGGCUUACCAAGGCAACGAUGCGUAGCCGACCUGAGAGGGGGAUCGGCCACACUGGAAGUGAGACACGGGCCAGACUCCUACGGGAAGAAGCAGUAGGGACUCUUGCGCAAUGGGAGAAAGCCUGACGGAGCAACGCCGCGUGAGUGAUGAAGGUAUUCGGAUCGUAAAACUCUGUUAUUAGGGAAGAACAAAUGCGUAAGUAAGUAUACAAGCAUUGACGGUACCUAAUCAGAAAGCCACGGCUAACUCCGUG
This 497-nucleotide ribosomal RNA is filed under the name uncultured bacterium. Its description in RNAcentral is "partial 16S ribosomal RNA". It matches the Rfam family "Bacterial small subunit ribosomal RNA", at positions 28 to 507 of the family's 1533-position model. The record is from RNAcentral.